AAAUAAAUACACAUAAAUGAAGUCUGGGCUGCACCUUGAAAGCUGAUUCUGAGAAAAUUGGUUCUAAGAGGUGCUGUUCCGAGUGCUUGCAGAUGUCACCCUAUCUGAUCUCACAACAACCUUAUGAGAGAACCGGGCACAUAAUUUAACAGCUUCUCAAUGACACACGGUCAGCAUCAUGAGGUCUAUGAGGUAAGGGAGGAAGCAUGAGCUGGCACUAAGAAAAUAACUGUUUACAAAGUUGAGAGGCUGAUUUGGGUCCUGCCCUUCUUGGGACCUUGGCAGGUGACUUCUCUGAGCUUCACCUUUUCCCUCUAUAAAACCAGAGGCACCGGACAGCUCAGCCAUCGAGGACUCUUCUGAAGUCGUCUCGUCCCUCCCUCCCAGCUGUCACUCCCGCUUACCAACUCACCUGUGUCCUCUUGCUACUUUAUCCCUUCCAGUUCUCUGUUCUAGCACACUACGGAAUAAGAAAGCUGGCUGAGGAUGUUAGGACACUUUGUAUCAAGAGUCCAUG
This is a long non-coding RNA of Choloepus didactylus (southern two-toed sloth), 517 nucleotides long. RefSeq lists it as uncharacterized. The transcript has 3 exons. The record is from RefSeq and is a predicted model, not a curated record. NCBI's taxonomy places the organism in Eukaryota, Metazoa, Chordata, Mammalia, Pilosa, Megalonychidae.